Phyllostomus discolor (pale spear-nosed bat) is the source of this 359-nucleotide long non-coding RNA. RefSeq lists it as uncharacterized. The record is from RefSeq and is a predicted model, not a curated record. The transcript is spliced from 2 exons. NCBI's taxonomy places the organism in Eukaryota, Metazoa, Chordata, Mammalia, Chiroptera, Phyllostomidae.
CAGGGCAACCCACUUCACUGUGUUGUGGUGCUGUGUGUGGGGGAGGGGUCAGAGAGGGAAUAAUGCUGCUUUCUUGGCUCUGGCCAGCUUUCAGUCACUUCCCCUACUACCCAUGAGGGAAUUGUGCCCUCUCAGGUGCUGCCCUUGUGAUUCCUGGGUGGGUGGAUUUGUGUACGUUCUAGGACCUGUGGGCCCCUCCAGUAGACUCUCCUGUGAGACUGGCAGUUUCUCCUGCUGUUGCAACCCCCACAGGUUUUUAUAGCCAGAGGCUUUGAAGCUUUCUCUUCCUGUGCUGGAACGCUGGGUUGGCAGUCUAUCUUACUCCCCAGUUCUUCCUCCUGGUUUAUCUGCCACUUGAA